Molecule: long non-coding RNA, 709 nt
Filed under: Equus caballus (horse)
Lineage: Eukaryota; Metazoa; Chordata; Mammalia; Perissodactyla; Equidae
Description: lncRNA (ENSECAG00000045984.1)
Source: RNAcentral
AUACCAUUCUGCAUUUUUCAAAUUUUCUACAAUGGACACGGAUUACUUUCAUAAUGAAGAAAAUAAAACUCACUUCCAAUUUCAACACUCAGAGUUGACCAGAAUUCACAUUCUGAAGUAGAAGUUCCAGGUGAAGCGCCAUACACAUUUGGGAGGCUCCUGAUGUGGAGGACACAGUGGCCGGGAUCACCCUUCUGAAACGUCAGCAUGGCCUCAGGAACCACGUCCUGACUGUCUGGGAGUCUCUCACUCUUAUUCCCAGGGGGACCAAGAUGGGGAAACCAAGGGAAGAGAAGACCAGGUGAAGACAUGAGAAAGACAAGCAAGAGAUAAGGAUCAGCCACCACUCCUUUUACUCCUAAGGAAAUGGAGGCCCACGAAAGAUGAGAGCUACAUGACUAAUGAGUGGUAGAGCAUGGAUUCUGGCCCGGGUCUGCGGGGCUCCCAGCCCAUGCCAGUGUGAACAGAAGGAAUUCCUCUGGAAAGGCAAUUGCAUAUCAGUCCCAGCUCUUCCUGGGGCAGAAAGCUGACACCUGCACUUAGAGAAGGAAGCCAUCCUGUGGGCAGAGGGCCGAGCAUUUCCCCUAAAGCCAUCUCCCUCUUCUUUCAAGCCAGGCUUAAAUAUCCAAACCGCAAAGGAAGAUGAAAGAAGCUUGUUGAUGAAGUCCUCCACCCUGGGAAGAGGAAGAUAAAAAAAAGAGAAAGAAAG